Acinonyx jubatus (cheetah) is the source of this 2105-nucleotide long non-coding RNA. RefSeq lists it as uncharacterized. NCBI's taxonomy places the organism in Eukaryota, Metazoa, Chordata, Mammalia, Carnivora, Felidae. The transcript has 7 exons. The record is from RefSeq and is a predicted model, not a curated record.
CCACUGAGGGAGCAGUAGGAGUCUCCAUGAGGAAAGUUGUUUUUGAGGUAAAUUUGAAGAUUGACUGGAAUUUUGAUGGAGAAAUAACCACCAAGAAACAAGAAUAACACAGGCAAAAGCCCAAAGACUAAGAUGUAAAAAACUAGUUGAAGAACCAUAAUUUAAAGUGUAGUGCUUUGAAAGGAGUAUUUAUGAAGAAAAUAGUAGGGAUAAGACUGGAAAGGGUGAUUAAGUUCUGUUUUUCCAGAACAAGGAUUUGGGGAGUUUAAGAAGGAGCUAGAAGCACAUAAUUACUUUAGUAGGGUGGGAAGUUUCUUUAAAACUAUUUUGCAAGUGUCAGCCAAAUUAUGAAAUCCAAGCCUGGUGGAACAGAAGCAAGAAAGCAUAAUCCAAAAGGAUAGUUAAAUCCUGGUUAGCAGAGAAUGGGAAGAAGAUGGGCCAAGGGAGCUACAGUGCUCAGUGGAGAUUCUGAAGUUGGAUGGGCCUGAAUCCACUUUAGAAUGCUCCUGCAGAAUAGGACAAAAUGCAAGAUCGGCGUCUCUCUAAUCCCAGGAGCAGGCAACGAUUUCUCUCCUGUGACACCAUGGGGACAAGCCCAGAGAGCAGACCUGUGGGCCUGGGGAGGUGGAAGGAUUUCUGUGAAACUUGUCUGCAGAAAAGCCAGACCUGCCAGGACAUUGCUGCAAAAUGACAGCUGCAUUCACAGAAUCCACUCUUCUCAGUUUGCAGAUGGGCCAUAGAAAACCAACAACAACAGGAGACUUUUCAACAAAUAACGGAGGGAUGUUCUGGGAAUUCUACUGCUUCUUUGCUGUGACCUCUGGAGAUUUUCUAAAUUAGAAUCAUUACCUAUAUGGGAAGCCUGCAAUGCAAAUCAAAUGAGAGGCCACGGGCAAGCUAAUGAAGGCCAAUGACCCAGGGAUCUAAUGAAGAUGAACAGCUCUGUUACAGGGAGAGGACGCCACCAUAUCACAUGCCGCUUGGAGCAGGAAAAGAGUUUCAGAUGAUGAGGUCACCAAAGGUCAGAAGAUGAGCCUCCAAAGGAAAUACAGAAGAAUAUACUUUGGAAUGGCUGAGCAAAGUGUGGACAUUGAAACUAAGGAAUGCUAUAGCAAGUGUGCCUAGGAGGUGCCUGGCUAGAACAGUGAAGACAUCAACCAACGCUGCAGCUCUCAGUGAGCCAACAAUAGACUAAGAGUUGGGGGAUCAAUUUUCCCCAUUGAACAAUCAAGAAAAACUUGGAGGCCCACAACUGGAAAACAUUUACUUGAAAAUCACUGAUGCAGGAACUUCUGAGACUGGAGCAGCCCACAUGUAUGCUUAUAAAAGGGAGGCAGAGGGAGACUUGACCAAUAAACAGGAGGAUUCAAUGUGAUCAUGGAGGCACCGAAGCUGGAAGAGGCAAAAACAGAUUCUUCCCUAAAGCCGUUGUGGCGCACAGCCAUGCUGAUAUUCUGACUUCAACCCAGGGACACUGAUUUUGGACUUCUGACUCCUGGAACUGUGAGAAAAUGUUUUUCUAUUGUUUUAACCCACCAAAUUUGUGGUAAUUUGUUAUAGUGGCCACAGGAAAUGAAUACAUCCUUCAUUUUUCAGAGUAAAAGCCUGUAAAAUUCAGGGUCCCCGGGUGGUUCAGUUGGUUAAACCUCCAACUUCAGUUCAGGUCAUGAUCUUGCAGUUGGUGAGUUCAAGCCUCGAGUUGGGCUCUGUGCUGACAGCUCGGAGCCUGGAGCCUGCUUGGGAUUCUAUGUCUUGCUCUCUCUUUGCCCCACCCUCACUUGCACUCUGUUUCUCUUUCUCUCUCUCAAAAAUAAGUAAAGUGUUUUUAAAAAUUAAAAAAAAAAAAAGCCUGUAAAAUUCUAUGGAAUCUAGCCCCUGUCAACUCCCUGAGUGCCCUCCUACAUCUUUUCCUAGCCUCCCCAGCUCCAGGCACACCUGUCCUUGUCCUUAAACAGACCAUGACCCAUCGCCCCAAGGUCUUUUCUCUAGCGGCUCCCUCAAGCUGAUGCUCUGGGACCUUCCUCACAUCCUUCAAAUUUGCUCAAGUGAGGUCUCUCUAGACCACGCUGUUUAAUACCACACUGCCCUUCACCACCCACUCCUGA